GUAGUAUUCCCUCCGUCCCAAAAUUUGUGUCUUACAUUUGUUUAGAUACGGAUGUAUCUAACACUAAAAUGUAACUAGAUACAUUCAUAUUUAGACAAAUUUAAGACAAGAAUUUUGGGACAGAGGGAGUACACA
This is a non-coding RNA of Triticum urartu, 135 nucleotides long. NCBI's taxonomy places the organism in Eukaryota, Viridiplantae, Streptophyta, Magnoliopsida, Poales, Poaceae. The record is from Rfam.